Molecule: ribosomal RNA, 491 nt
Filed under: uncultured bacterium
Lineage: Bacteria
Description: partial 16S ribosomal RNA
Rfam family: Bacterial small subunit ribosomal RNA
Source: RNAcentral
AGUGAACGCUGGCGGUAGGCCUAACACAUGCAAGUCGAACGGCAGCACAGUAAGAGCUUGCUCUUACGGGUGGCGAGUGGCGGACGGGUGAGGAAUACAUCGGAAUCUACUUUUUCGUGGGGGAUAACGUAGGGAAACUUACGCUAAUACCGCAUACGACCUACGGGUGAAAGCAGGGGAUCUUCGGACCUUGCGCGAUUGAAUGAGCCGAUGUCGGAUUAGCUAGUUGGCGGGGUAAAGGCCCACCAAGGCGACGAUCCGUAGCUGGUCUGAGAGGAUGAUCAGCCACAGUGGAACUGAGACAGGGUCCAGACUCCUACGGGAGGCAGCAGUGGGGAAUAUUGGACAAUGGGCGCAAGCCUGAUCCAGCCAUACCGCGUGGGUGAAGAAGGCCUUCGGGUUGUAAAGCCCUUUUGUUGGGAAAGAAAAGCAGCAGGUUAAUACCCCGCUGUUCUGACGGUACCCAAAGAAUAAGCACCGGCUAACUGCGU